CAUGUAGGCGGCGCGUCUAGUGCAUGGUGAAAGCCCACGGCUCACCCGCGGAAUUGCUGUGCAUACUGGCGUGCUCGAGGACGGUAGGGGAGAGCGGAACUCUUGGUGGAGCGGUGAAAUGCGUAGAUAUCAAGAGGAACACCAAAGGCGAAGGCAGCUCUCUGGUCCGUUUCUGACGCUGAGGUGCGAAAGCCAGGGUAGCGAACG
RNAcentral lists this ribosomal RNA (207 nucleotides) under uncultured bacterium. RNAcentral's name for it is "partial 16S ribosomal RNA". It matches the Rfam family "Bacterial small subunit ribosomal RNA", at positions 568 to 774 of the family's 1533-position model. The record is from RNAcentral.